UACGUAGGGUGCGAGCGUUGCCCGGAUUUAUUGGGCGUAAAGGGCGCGUAGGCGGCCACGCACGUCCGUUGUGAAAUCGCCCGGCUCAACUGGGCGGGGUCAGCGGAUACGGUGUGGCUAGAGCAAGCUAGGGGGCAAUGGAAUUCCCGGUGUAGUGGUGGAAUGCGUAGAUAUCGGAAGGAACACCAGUGGCGAAGGCGACUUUCUGGCCUAAUACUGACACUGAAUUGCGAAAGCGUGGGUAGCGAACAGG
Molecule: ribosomal RNA, 253 nt
Filed under: uncultured bacterium
Lineage: Bacteria
Description: partial 16S ribosomal RNA
Rfam family: Bacterial small subunit ribosomal RNA
Source: RNAcentral